This is an RNA transcript of Rhinopithecus roxellana (golden snub-nosed monkey), 4191 nucleotides long. It is a transcript of the gene named BR serine/threonine kinase 2, with no coding region annotated. Lineage: Eukaryota; Metazoa; Chordata; Mammalia; Primates; Cercopithecidae. The record is from RefSeq and is a predicted model, not a curated record. The transcript is spliced from 21 exons.
GCUCAGCUGCACGGCUCGGCUCGGCUCGGCUCGGCUCGGCUGCGCGGCCGCGGACGGGCGUGCGCUGGGGGCGCGGGGCGCGGGGCGCGGGCCUUGGCGGCGGCGGCGGCGGAAGCCAGGUGCCCCCGCCCGCCCUGUCCUCUCGACGAGGCGGAGGCGUCGCCGCGGGCCGGGCCUCGGACUGCCGCGUCGGAGUGGACGCAGGGGGCGGCGGCGCAGGCGGACGCGGGCGGCGCAGAGCAGCGGGGCCCGCGGGGGCGCCCCGGCCCGGUCGGCGCGGACGGCUCUCGGCGGACGCGGGCGGACGCUGGGCGGCCCCUCCCUGCCCGCGCGCCCGGGCGCCCCUGGCCGGCGCCGGGCCCCGGAGCGAUGACAUCGACGGGGAAGGACGGCGGCGCGCAGCACGCGCAGUAUGUGGGGCCCUACCGGCUGGAGAAGACGCUGGGCAAGGGGCAGACAGGCCUGGUGAAGCUUGGGGUUCACUGUGUCACCUGCCAGAAGGUGGCCAUCAAGAUCGUCAACCGGGAGAAGCUCAGCGAGUCUGUGCUGAUGAAGGUGGAGCGGGAGAUCGCGAUCCUGAAGCUCAUCGAGCACCCCCACGUCCUAAAGCUGCACGACGUUUAUGAAAACAAAAAAUAUUUGUACCUGGUGCUAGAACACGUGUCAGGUGGUGAGCUUUUCGACUACCUGGUGAAGAAGGGGAGGCUGACGCCUAAGGAGGCUCGUAAGUUCUUCCGGCAGAUCAUCUCUGCUCUGGACUUCUGCCACAGCCACUCCAUAUGCCACAGGGAUCUGAAACCUGAAAACCUCCUGCUGGACGAGAAGAACAACAUCCGGAUUGCAGACUUCGGCAUGGCGUCCCUGCAGGUUGGCGACAGCCUGUUGGAGACCAGCUGUGGGUCCCCCCACUACGCCUGCCCCGAGGUGAUCCGGGGGGAGAGGUACGAUGGCCGGAAGGCGGACGUGUGGAGCUGCGGCGUCAUCCUGUUCGCCUUGCUAGUGGGGGCUCUGCCCUUCGACGACGACAACCUGCGGCAGCUGCUGGAGAAGGUGAAGCGGGGCGUGUUCCACAUGCCGCACUUCAUUCCGCCCGACUGCCAGAGCCUGCUGCGAGGCAUGAUCGAGGUGGACGCCGCACGCCGCCUCACGCUAGAGCACAUUCAGAAACACAUAUGGUAUAUAGGAGGCAAGAACGAGCCAGAGCCGGAGCAGCCCAUUCCUCGCAAGGUGCAGAUCCGCUCGCUGCCCAGCCUGGAGGACAUCGACCCUGACGUGCUGGACAGCAUGCACUCCCUGGGCUGCUUCCGAGACCGCAACAAGCUGCUGCAGGACCUGCUAUCCGAGGAGGAGAACCAGGAGAAGAUGAUUUACUUCCUCCUCCUGGACCGGAAAGAAAGGUACCCCAGCCAGGAGGACGAGGACCUCCCCCCCCGGAACGAGAUAGACCCUCCCCGGAAGCGUGUGGACUCCCCGAUGCUGAACCGGCACGGCAAGCGGCGGCCGGAGCGCAAGUCCAUGGAGGUGCUCAGCGUGACCGACGGCGGUUCCCCGGUGCCUGCGCGGCGGGCCAUUGAGAUGGCCCAGCACGGCCAGAGGUCUCGGUCCAUCAGCGGUGCCUCCUCAGGCCUUUCCACCAGCCCACUGAGCAGCCCCCGGGUGACCCCUCACCCCUCACCAAGGGGCAGUCCCCUCCCCACCCCCAAGGGGACACCUGUCCACACGCCAAAGGAGAGCCCGGCCGGCACGCCCAACCCCACGCCACCGUCCAGCCCCAGCGUCGGAGGGGUGCCCUGGAGGGCGCGGCUCAACUCCAUCAAGAACAGCUUUCUGGGCUCACCCCGCUUCCACCGCCGGAAACUGCAAGUUCCGACGCCAGAGGAGAUGUCCAACCUGACCCCAGAGUCGUCUCCAGAGCUGGCCAAGAAGUCCUGGUUUGGGAACUUCAUCAGCCUGGAGAAGGAGGAGCAGAUCUUCGUGGUCAUCAAAGACAAGCCUCUGAGCUCCAUCAAGGCUGACAUCGUGCACGCCUUCCUGUCGAUCCCCAGCCUCAGCCACAGUGUCAUCUCCCAGACGAGCUUCCGGGCCGAGUACAAGGCCACGGGGGGGCCAGCCGUGUUCCAGAAGCCCGUCAAGUUCCAGGUGGAUAUCACCUACACGGAGGGAGGGGAGGCGCAGAAGGAGAACGGCAUCUACUCUGUCACCUUCACCCUCCUCUCAGGCCCCAGCCGCCGCUUCAAGAGGGUGGUGGAGACCAUCCAGGCCCAGCUGCUGAGUACACACGACCCACCCGCGGCCCAGCACUUGUCAGAACCCCCCCCACCAGCGCCAGGACUAAGCUGGGGUGCUGGGCUUAAGGGCCAGAAGGUGGCCACCAGCUACGAGAGUAGCCUCUGACGCUGGCAGACACCACUAACUGUAUGGAAAUGAUGACGGGGCGGCUUUCCAAAUGUGGAAUUAUCCCGAAAAGUUAACAUGUCACCUCCACGAGGCCAUCCUCUGUGACCGAAGGCAGCUGCUGCGGACCCGCCCUCCCUCCGCUCCUGCUGUUGCUGCCAGGCAGCGAGGCCCAGCCCAGCGCCCCGUCCACCCCGCGGCAGCUCCUCGCCUCAGCUCCGCAUGGCCCGUGGGAGGAGGGCCAGGCUCGGGGGAGCCUCCUCCAGCCCGGCCGACCCGGACUCCCGGUCACCUGACCCCUCGGCAAGAACAGCCUGCCUGGCGGCCUUCUGGGGCCGGGACCCCCGGUGGGCAAAGUAGCCACAGGAACAGACCCCGUCCACCCCGUCCACCACCUCCACGCCGCACCCGGAGGCCUCCUCGCGCCUCGCAGGCCCAUGCCCCGCCUCCCCGGCUGUGCCACCUCCGCCUCCGUGUAGUCUUGGCCUCCUCAGGCUGCCUCCCGUCCUCUCGUCUCACCUGCGCCUCCCUUGCCUCAUCUGGGGCGGCUGUAGGCUCUGGCGCUCCUCCCUGGCUGAGGUGGAAACAGAGACCCUGGGGCGCCAGAACCUUCCCAGCAGGCCAGGCCGCUGGGCUGGGAUCAGUGUUAUUUAUUUGCUGUUUUAAUUUAUGGAUUCUCCACACCUCUGUUCAGGGACGGGCGGCGGCCGCAUCCCCUGCUGUCUGCCCGUCUCGGGCGGGGUGGGGUCUGGGGCCAGGGCGCCCUCUGAGGACAGAGCUGGUGGGGCUCGGGGCAGCUGGCGAGCUACUGUAAACUUUAAAGAAUUCCUGCAAGAUAUUUUUAUAAACUUUUUUUUCUUGGUGGUUUUUGGAAAAGGGUGUGGGGGUGGGGGCGCCGCUGGGACAGGGCCAGGUUUUGUGUUUCAGUCCCUUGCUCCCGGUUCUUUCUACACACACAUCUAAGAUGGUGCGGUUCGCUCUGUCAUGGGUUCCGUUUCUCUGUGGAGCAGCAGCUCCACCUGUGGGGGCUCGGGGCAGAGGGGCAGCGUUCGUAGCGGACGGCAGCGCCAGCGCCCCUCUUUCAAGACCCAGGCUGGGGCAAUCUUGGUUUUGUGUCCAAGGGUGAAGGGGUAGGAGGAAGGCCCCCAGCUGGCCCUCCCCACACACAGGACAGCAGGGGCACGUGGGGCUUUUCUUAUUAAAAUUUUAAAAAGUUGAAAAAAAAAAAAAAACAGAGUCGGUGGCGCUCCUCCGCUGGGCGUUCUGUGCAGAGCAAGGCCCAGGGCGUGGCCUGGAGGGGCUGCAGGCCCCCCUGCCCAGUGCCCACUGCUGUGCUUCACCCCAGCUCCAGCUUCUGUGUUCCCUUCUGCCCAUGUGCCCGGCCCUCCCAGGCGGACACAGCCUGGAUGCAGCGGCCAUGGGGGGCGGCGGGUCUGAUGCAUGCCUCUGCCGUGGAGUCUGUCGGCUUCAGUGCCUGCCCCUGCCUCCCACCCACCUCGUGUAUACAUUUUAACGCUUCUGUUGACAUGAGACCUCUGCCACAGGCUGGGAUUUCUAUACGUAAGAACAAAAGCAAACACCUAGGACAGCAAAUGCCAGGCGGUCCAGGCGGGAAGGGGCUCUCCACGGAGAUCGAGGACAUGAAGCAAAAUGCCUCUUGCUCACCUUCCCCUCUUGUGCUUCGGACACGCGCGGACUCCAGCAGGCGCCACGGAAAUGGGCGAGCCCCUGCAGUGUACCCCUGUCGUAACUGUGAGCGACUGCAGCUCGGAACAAUAAAUCCCUUCCGCAAAGACA